CUUUUUUUUCCAGGGAUGCUUUGUAUGCCCAGUCCAGCCCUGGUCCUGUGUACUGGCUUGCCUUGAAAGACUGUUACCACCUGGGGACCAAGUAUACACUGAUGCAACGGACUAAUAUCUUUCAGAGAUUUGUGAACAUCCUUUCCAAUCCUCCCAUUCUUCAUAUAGUACAAACCAUUGUACAGUUUCCCCUUAGCAAGACUAGUAGAAUAAGUUGAACAUAAGGAAGGUGCAUCAUUUUAGUAAUGUAAUUUAGUAAGUUAGACAAUGCUUCCAUUAAAUAUAUUGUUUCAGGGAUCCUUACCUUUUUGAUGUUCGUUAUAUUUGCAUAUAACAUUAACCUGCAUAUUAUAUUUUAAUAAAACAUUGCUUAACAUGCAUAUUUACAAUCUGGUAAUUAUCACAUCAUGAAAUGUCUUAAAGUCACUGAAGUGACUGAACAAAUUAUUAAAUGACACGUUAAAAAACGAGAAAUUAUUAUAUUUGUACUUGGAAGAGAAUAUAUAACUCUGAGGUCCACAUUUACACUCAAAUACACAACCAAAAUCAGUGCAAAUUAAACAUUGAAAAAUAAAAUACACAGCAUUCUUGCAAAAUAUAUAGAUUUGUUUGUUCGUGUACUAUCAGCACAAUUGCUUUUAAAUACAAAAAUGUACAUUUCAAAACAAUCAGAAAACAUACGUAUUACCAACACAGUGGGUUGCAAGUUAGACAAUUAGAAACAAGUUAACACAAACAAAACCCUGUUUUCAAGAUUAAACCACAAGUAAACAUAACCAGGGUGCACAUUUAAAUGCACACAAUAUUAAGUAAAGACACAAAGGCAACAAUAUUUUUUAUAUAUCAAUGAAGGAAACUUUGGCACAAUGGCUGCACUGUCAGAUGAUGAAAAAUCUGUUUUUAAUAUUGAUUAAAAAGAGGCAGUUAUAAAUAUUUAAAAUUGCUUUACAUAUAUAAUGCUUGAGUAUUUAUAGCAGUCAGUAUGUGAUGCUCACAAAAAAUGUAGCAAUGUAAAAAGCCAUUAUUGCUUCUCAACGGCCACAGACGAAAAAAAAGAUAUGCAGUGUAUAUUGCCGACAUAGUACAACUCCUUAGCAAACAUACCUCUGUCAUUCCCAAGUAUAAAGCAUUCGGAGAAUGUUCAACAGCAUCACUAAAUCUUUGCUAUCUAAAUAUUUGCUAGUAAACCAGGUAUUGAUGGAAAACAAGGCAUUUCGGGAGUUCGAGAAAUUUUUACAUUUUGGUUAUUUUUAGUAUAAAAAGUAAAAUUCCCGGGUCAAUUCCCAAUUUAAUUUUUUUUAAUAAAAGGGUCAAUUAUUUAUUCAAGUGUGAAUUCUCAGAAAUUUAGCUGGGAAAUGCACAUUUUAAUCAAAAAUAAGUUAAUAGUUAUUAUGAAAGUUAUUCAAAUGAACUACGUUUCCAUUUCCUGGCUAAUUAUUUCUCUAAUUGUUUCAUGACCAACUUAACUAUGAUAUUUCAAUCCAAAUCAACUUUCUUAUUUGCUUUACUUAGGACAUGGAAAGUUUUCACUAAGUUGUGAAAUGUUGACAACUUAAAGAGAAUUUAUAAUUUUAGACAUAAUUGAAAGGUUCCUCAAAGUUACCUAUGUUGUCAGUUCUACUAUUUAGGAAUAAAAGUUUAAAUUCAAUGUGAUCUAUGGACUUCUCAUGCUUUAGUGAAUAACCUUGCAAAACAGGAUUUACAUGGUUAUUCACAAAGCCUGGGAUUUGGGAGAAUAAGAAAUAAAAGCAAAAUUUAGGCCAAGAUUUUCAACAUGGAAGAGCUUUCCAACACAACUACGUUUACAAAUGAGCUACUUUGACCUAAAACUAUUAAAGAUGCUCUGUCAUCACCUGGGGUCUUUGCAUGCUUUGGCAGUUGGCCAUGUGGUGGAGGGAAAGAGGAGUUUUGCUCAUCUGAACCGGUCCUUGAUGGUCCCCACUAUUCUCAACAAGUCGUUCAUCUUUAGCAGCACCUGGCACAUCCUCUGCCAGCAGCCCUUGAUGUACACUAGAGUAUUUCACUGAGAUCUAUGGAGGAUCCAACCACCAUCAAUGGACAAUGUCUUCUUCCCUACAGCCAUCACUCGUGACAGAUUGGGGAAAUGACGAAACUUGAUGGAAGUAGCUCCACCUUUUGUUAAGUUUUAUAUAGAGUAGGUAAUAUACAUAAGAAAAAGGAGUUCCUAUUUUGUCGAAGUAGAGAAAUUCCAACACAGUCAAUGUGGGUAUUUCAUAAACACAGCUGCUUUAAAAAGUUAUUCUCAAUUCCAACUUAGUGAAUAAUACUAUUGGGAAUUCUGUUCCUGAUAAAACCUGAACAUUCAGAGUUCUCGGAGGACUAGCUCAUGAAGCGGAAAUCACAGAAAAGUAAUUAAUUAUAAAAACCGAGUACACUGGUCUAAAAGAAACAAAAAGUAAUUAUUUAGUUCAUAUAAUUAUUUUUUUAACAAAAAAAUAAUCACCUGUUUAUAAAUAAAUCCAAUCCUUUCCAUUGUAGAUCACUCUAGAGGCAAAUAUUAAAAUAUAAUCAGAAAUGGAUAUACAUUUUUUUCUGCACUUUAAAAUAAGACUUGUAUCAUAUGAAGGCACAUUAACUUACCGCUUUAAGUGCAUGGGAAUAAUACAAUGUAUUGCGCCUAGCACCCAAAAGGAUAAUAUGCUUAUAGUCACAAAUAGAUACACAUUACAUUUAAGAACUGGCAUAACUUUAUUCUAUCCCAACAUAAAAAUAAAUAUAAAAAACAAAGAAUAAAGUUACUUGCGCACACAUAAAAAUAAAUAUGUAUUUUAAUAACCUGCGCUUUACCCCUUCCCUGUAGCCUAAAUGUUUCUGAUAAUUGUUAGAAGCGGUCAGUAAGAUGAAAAAUUAAUUGCUAAAUAUUCAUGAAAUAUCACAUUUUUCCAGAGCUUUUCUUGUUCCCCAUAUAUUUAAGCAGAACACACAGUCUAGAUUUAAAAGUUAAUUAGACAUUGCCAUCCGUAUAAUAAAUAAGAAUUUCCAAUAGGCUACAUGUGGUAGUUAAAAAAACAGCUUGUAAUGUAACAGGAUGUCCACAUUGCUAUUGCAAAUAUUCUCGGGUGAUGAUCACUGCAUAAAAUGAUGCUUUCCUGUAGUGCAUACCUCCCAAUGUUGGAGGUUUGUCCAAAAAAUAAAAUAAAAAAUGGGUGCUUCCUCCCUAAAAAGGGGGCUAUUAGACUGGCAUGCAUUCACACUGGCAUAGCAAAAGCAUCUCUGGACCUAGAUGUUCUUAUUGUCCAGUAGUGGAAAAAUUAAUGGCAUAAGUCACAGUUAACCAGUUAAGAUGCAAAUUGCAGAGAAUGCUAUAUGUCGUAAACUCAGUAUUUGGUACGACAUAGGAGGUUCAGUGAAUUCCUAAUUAGCUUUACUAAUAAGUAUCUGUCAAUGCCAAUGCUAUCCAGGGAGUGUAUUAUGAAAUAAAAGGAAUAGCUAGUCAGUACUUUUGAUCCACUGCCCAAAUUCAACCAACCGUAUACCUAACUAUCGAUAUCUAUAUUCUAACUAGUAACUGACAAAACCUAGCCUAAUAGAGAGUGGAACAUCACCAAAAGCAAUAGAACGGCACAAGGUAAGACAUCAUUCUAAUUAACGCCACAUUCUAUUUACAUGAGCAGUAAAGUGCAAAUUUAAUGAGACUGUUUUACAUGCAGAAUAGCUACGACACAAAAAAAAAAAUAUAUAUACAUAUUUUUUUACUUUUCUUUCACACGAUCUGUGGCUUACAUGUUAAAACUGAAAAAAUAUUAAUGCACACAUGCUUUGGUAUUAAACAUUGGCCUGUUGAUAGCAGGUUACUUGUGGUAUGGAGCACUGCUUUGGAGUAAACACAAACGCUUUAACAUGACACAUAUUAAGGUGUCUUACAAUUGCACUUGAAUAUAUUUAAAUAUCAGUGGGUAGAAUAUGAUGAGCCUGAAACAACUACAAAUCAUUUUAUCUAAAGAGCAUAGUUAUAUUUUGGCAACAUUAAUCCCAUCACUUUAAAAUGGGAAACUUGGAACCAAGUUAUGCCCACUUCUGCUAAUUUAUUCAUUGCGCACUGGGAGGAGUUGUAUAUAUUCACCAACCAUGGCUGGCUCACAACUGUCACCUUUCAUUGCUUCAUAGAUAAUAUGUUUUAUUUUGGAAUUGGACAGAGGAAAAUUGUACUUAAUGUGCUACUUUUUUAAAGGACCACUAGUCACCCAGACUGCUUUAUCUCAGUAAAAUGGUCUGGGUACAGUGGUCCUGUCAUUUUAACCUUUCAAAAGAAAACAUUGCAGUUCUGUAGAGCUGUAGGGUUAACUUAAACACUCCUCUAGUGGCUGUUUUCCAUGCAGCAACUGGAGGCGCUUCUAUGGCACUGACCAAGUAAAACAGGAAGUGGACUGGACCAAUGAUGGAGGAAAUGACACAUGAGGAUAUCGUUGGAGGCAGAAAAGUGAGCAGAGCCGAGGGAGUAUUGGUGCUGGAAAAAGUUAAGUAAACCUUUUUUUUUUUUUAAAGCUAUUUUUAAGGCUAUCUACUCUAAAAAAAAAAAACAACAGAUAAAUAAACCAGUUGGCAAUAAGAAUCAAAUAUUUCUAUUAUAUGAUUUUCAUGAUGAAUGCCAAACAAUAAAGGUUAUUGAAAAAAAACAAAAAAACAUUGGCAUAUUGUGCUAAAAGAUAAAAAUCUAGAAAAAUAAAAAUUACAUCUAGAGAACCCUCUCAGUUUAAAGCAAAGAUUAACACAUGGUUAUUUAAACCAAGAGAAAGAAUGGUGAGCUUGUCUCUUUUGGGCAGUGAGGAGGGGGGUGAAGGUUGUUAUUUCUUUUGUAGACGAUGUCAAGCUUGCCAAAACACAAUUUAUAGUAAAAAGAAAAUAGUCAAUUUCAUUAUAGUGUAAUAAAAAAGUGUCAUUUGCGAGGGGCAGAGGUGGGUGAAAAUAAUGCAAAAAGGAAAGUUCUGGGUAUACAAAUUAUGUAUAUUAGGUCCUCUAGGACUUAAUACUGGAUUAAUUUGCACAUGUUUAUGGGCAUAUAGUAAAGCUAUAAUUUAAAUGACAGAUAGAAAAAGUUAGGGCCGUGUCACCUUAAUGAAACAUAGACUAUGGCACUUUAAGAAAUAUGUAUAAAAGUGGGGACAAUGCUUUGUAUGAAAGUUGCAUUGAGAAAGCUUGUAGGUGCGAUAUGUGUCAGCAGUGUUUUGUCAUUAUGCCUGCAUGCCAGCAUCAUGAUUUCUAUAUGGAGAGGACACAGAGGAAAUGGAGAUUGACAAUGUUGUUAUGUGUCACAAGUGAUCUUGUGGGUUGAAAAACCAAAAAGUUCCUAGUUUUACUAAACUACGUGUUUUAAUAGAGGGCAAAACACGAUUAUGUGUUCUUUAAAUAGGUAGGAGUUUUGAAGUGCCCAAGUGCCACGGGGAAACUUUUGAAUAUUGGACUGACCAUACUACUAGUAGAAUAAUGCAUAUACAUAUUGUUUGAUGACAACUGAACUGUUGACAAUCACAGAAGGGUAAUAAAGAUUAAAUUGUUGUCUACCCAGCACUCAAUUUUAUCUGUAUUAAGACAUUUUCUGUGUUUGCACAAUGAUGGUGAGGUGUCAUUGUGAUAACAGCAGCAUAUUGCAGCAAGUAGUAAGCACCAUAUAAAAUCAGUUUCUCUUGUACAUAGCGCAUGCUUACAUUGCAAGAUACUGAAUUUCAGAAUGAAACCCAAUACAUUCUGCAACACUGCUUCUAAGUUGCCGACAGUGAACGGAAAGGCUUGAAUAUUAAUGCAUUUUAGCACAGUAUGGUAGUUGGUUACUAAACUGGGAAUGUUCAAGAAUUGAUUAAAAAUUUUUUAACCAUUUUAGGGAACAUCUCCACCAUUUAAUACAGCUUUCUGGGAAAGUGCACUCAUGUUCAGCGGAUCUGCAAGGCUUCUCUGAUUGGUUAUACACUAGCACAGUGAAAUAGUCAGUGCCAGGGAACAAGGGGAGAUUACUAGAUCUGCAGCUACUUCAAGCGACAGAUUUCAUGUGUUACCAAUGAAAACAUGCCAAACAAAUUCAUGUUUCCUUGGUACCCCAAGGAAAAAUUGUUCAUUUUUAAAUGGUAUUUUCUAUUAAAGCUCCAAGAUGCAAUAAUUAUGGUCUGGAGUCCAGGGCUAGGACAAAGAAUAUUAGAUUAUUUUUUUUAAUUUUUUUUAAGGAGAACUAAGGUGAGAGUGUCAAGGGAUAGGAAAAUUAGUGACAGAAAGGUUAUUGCAGAGAGAAUUAGGGUUUAAGAUCAAAAAAGAGGCAUAAAGAAAAAUAUAGCAGGCUAAGAAGAAAGCAUGACAUGAUGGUAAUCUCCACAAAGAUAGUAAAAGAAAUUGAAAUCAACACUGCACAGAAGUAUAUAAAAAAAUGGAAAAGAAAAUCACAAAGUGAAGCCGCACUAAAGAAUAAAACCAAACACAUUUCAAAAAUUUCAGUUCUUAAUCACUAGAAAUCUAAUGAUUAAAGACUAAAACGGUGUUGAUUAGUUAUAGAACUGGUUGUUUUUUUCCCCACAAUUAUUUAGAAUUUGUAAACAUAAGAAACACAGGUAUAUUUAGUAUUUUCUUUGAAUAAAAUUGCUUUUAAAAAAAAAAAAAAAAAAAACUUUUUUUACAGUACAGAUAAUCCUAAUUUCAAUCCUCUUUAGAACUCACAGGGGUCAAUUUAAACAAUAUUGAAUAUUGCUAAAAUGUGUCAAUAAGCGUUCACUGCAAUAUGCAGCCAUUUCCUAACAGAUGUUAGAGCUAACUUUAUCCUGUUCUCUUGCAGAAUCUUCCAUAGGCCUUUGUUUCAUAGUCUCAUACAAUUGUAAUAAGCUUGCAAGGGACAGUGCCACUUUAAUGUCUUGUGGAAGCCUUUGCUCUUUCAUUAGACAUCUAUGCUUUCCAUGUUCUUCAAAUAACAUUGUUUCUGUGUGGCAUUAAUCAAAUCUAAACAAGCUGAUAAAUAUCAAGGUGAGAAUGGGUGAGUGUCGGGAUUUGUCAGCAUGUGGAGUAAGACAAAUAAAUAAAAGCAAAUGAAAACAGAAAUUUUUAACUUUUGCCUUGAGAUUUUCUUAUGUUUUCUUUAAGUAACAAUAUAAAUACAUAGCAGCAAAAUGUUUACCCAUUCUUAUAUAUUUUUGUCAAUUAUGUGAUAAUUUGUCAUGCUAUUCAAGACCCGAUCACUUAUAAAGGUGCUCUUUGUUUCAUCACUUUAACAAUAUUCAAUGCAUCAUGGCCCUUGACAUAAUUGUAC
Pelobates cultripes (western spadefoot toad) is the source of this 7243-nucleotide non-coding RNA. The record is from the annotation of a GenBank genome assembly. Lineage: Eukaryota; Metazoa; Chordata; Amphibia; Anura; Pelobatidae.